Molecule: long non-coding RNA, 962 nt
Filed under: Homo sapiens (human)
Lineage: Eukaryota; Metazoa; Chordata; Mammalia; Primates; Hominidae
Description: novel transcript
Source: RNAcentral
AGAGAUGGAGCUGGGUGAGGGGCUGCUGUCUGCAGUGUCAGCCUCUGCACCCCACCCACAGCCUCCCACGGCAUCCCCUCCCCAUCUCCCCUUUGUCUUCCUCUGUCUUCCUUUUUACUUCCUUUUCGCUGUUUAAUGAGAACGACUUCCAUUUGCUAUUUGUUGACUGAGUCCGGCACUGCAUUAAGCUCUGUCUACAUUUUGUCUUAGUGCUUGCAGGCACUUUAUAAGGUAGACGCAAGUAUUGUGCCACUUUUACACAUCAGGGAACGUAUGAACACAUCAGGUUGCUCAGCAAUGAAGUGGAAGAGCAUUGAUAGCCCUUUGGGCACAGAUCUGUGUGCCUCCAAAACCCAUGCUCUGAGCGCUGGUAACCUCUACUCCUCCUCUUCCUCACCUUGUCAGCAUCAGCACUCCACCUUCCCUUUCCUCCUCCGCUUCGAAUCUCAGAGCCAACUUCAGCUAGUGCCUCUCCCUUCGGAAACACCUCCGGGAAAUACCUCCUCCCAGAUCACCCCUGCCAGAACCAGCAACGACUAUGAGUACAGCACGUGGGUCUGCAGAUUGGCAAGGACCAAAAGAACUGAUUACUAUACAAGGAGUGGCUAUGGUGGUGAGAUUUGUCCUCUGCAAACCAUGACGGUGGUAGCUGGCAAAGGUUUGGUGAAAUAGGCUUUGGCAUACAUUGUUGAUGGGAAUGGUGCAUGCAGUGUUAAAGGGAAUUUAUCUGUCAAAUUUUUUUAAUGCACUUCAAUUUUGACCCAGCAAUUCUGCUUCUAGGAAAUUAUCCAACAGAUAAAUGUGCAAGUGCAAAAUGGCAUAUACACAAAUAUUUACUGCAGCAUUAUCUCAGCAAAAGGCUAGAGAUAACCCGAAUGUCCAUCAGAAGGGGACUGCUUAAAUAAAUUAUGGUAUAUCUGUAUAAUGGAAUAUUAAGCAAUAUUAAAAUAGUGAGAAUUUCA